AUGGCUCAGGAUGAACGCUAGCGACAGGCCUAACACAUGCAAGUCGAGGGGCAUCGGGGCGAGGAGCAAUCCUUGCCGCCGGCGACCGGCGCACGGGUGAGUAACGCGUAUGCGACCUGCCCGUUGCAGGGGGAUAAUCGGGAGAAAUCCCGUCUAAUACCGCGUAACGCCGCGGGGCUGCAUGGCCCUGCGGCCAAAGGGAGCGAUUCCGGCAACGGAUGGGCAUGCGUGACAUUAGCUAGUUGGCGGGGCAACGGCCCACCAAGGCGACGAUGUCUAGGGGUUCUGAGAGGAAGGUCCCCCACACUGGUACUGAGACACGGACCAGACUCCUACGGGAGGCAGCAGUGAGGAAUAUUGGUCAAUGGGCGCGAGCCUGAACCAGCCAAGUCGCGUGAGGGAUGACGGCCCUACGGGUAGUAAACCUCUUUUGUCGGGGAGCAAAUUCCGCCACGUGUGGCGGAGUCGAGAGUACCCGAAGAAAAAGCAUCGGCUAACUCCGUGCCAGCAGCCGCGGUAAUACGGAGGAUGCGAGCGUUAUCCGGAUUUAUUGGGUUUAAAGGGUGCGUAGGCGGACUGUCAAGUCAGCGGUAAAAUACGGGGGCUCAACCUCCGCCCGCCGUUGAAACUGACGGUCUUGAGUGGGCGAGAAGUAUGCGGAAUGCGUGGUGUAGCGGUGAAAUGCAUAGAUAUCACGCAGAACUCCGAUUGCGAAGGCAGCAUACCGGCGCCCAACUGACGCUGAAGCACGAAAGCGUGGGUAUCGAACAGGAUUAGAUACCCUGGUAGUCCACGCAGUAAACGAUGAAUACUAGCUGUCCGGGGCGAAUGAGCCCUGGGUGGCACAGCGAAAGCGUUAAGUAUUGCACCUGGGGAGUACGCCGGCAACGGUGAAACUCAAAGGAAUUGACGGGGGCCCGCACAAGCGGAGGAACAUGUGGUUUAAUUCGAUGAUACGCGAGGAACCUUACCCGGGCUCAAACGACACAGGAACGUACCUGAAAGGGUUCGGCUCUACGGAGCCUGUGUCGAGGUGCUGCAUGGUUGUCGUCAGCUCGUGCCGUGAGGUGUCGGCUUAAGUGCCAUAACGAGCGCAACCCCCAUCGACAGUUGCUAACAGGUUAGGCUGAGGACUCUGUCGAGACUGCCGGCGCAAGCUGCGAGGAAGGCGGGGAUGACGUCAAAUCAGCACGGCCCUUACGUCCGGGGCGACACACGUGUUACAAUGGCAGGUACAGCGGGAAGCCACCUGGCGACAGGGAGCGGAACCCGAAAGCCUGUCUCAGUUCGGAUUGGAGUCUGCAACCCGACUCCAUGAAGCCGGAUUCGCUAGUAAUCGCGCAUCAGCCACGGCGCGGUGAAUACGUUCCCGGGCCUUGUACACACCGCCCGUCAAGCCAUGGAAGCCGGGGGUGCCUGAAGUGCGCUGCCGCGAGGAGCGCCCUAGGGUAAAACCGGUGACUGGGGCUAAGUCGUAACAAGGUA
Molecule: ribosomal RNA, 1485 nt
Filed under: uncultured bacterium
Lineage: Bacteria
Description: partial 16S ribosomal RNA
Rfam family: Bacterial small subunit ribosomal RNA
Source: RNAcentral